UACGGAGGGUGCAAGCGUUAAUCGGAAUUACUGGGCGUAAAGCGUGCGUAGGCGGUUUUUUAAGUCAGAUGUGAAAGCCCCGGGCUCAACCUGGGAACUGCAUUUGAAACUGGAAGACUAGAGUUGAGUAGAGGAAAGUGGAAUUUCAGGUGUAGCGGUGAAAUGCGUAGAUAUCUGAAGGAACACCAGUGGCGAAGGCGACUUUCUGGACUCAAACUGACGCUGAGGUACGAAAGCGUGGGUAGCAAACAGG
RNAcentral lists this ribosomal RNA (253 nucleotides) under uncultured bacterium. Its description in RNAcentral is "partial 16S ribosomal RNA". It matches the Rfam family "Bacterial small subunit ribosomal RNA", at positions 524 to 776 of the family's 1533-position model. The record is from RNAcentral.